Molecule: long non-coding RNA, 570 nt
Filed under: Numida meleagris (helmeted guineafowl)
Lineage: Eukaryota; Metazoa; Chordata; Aves; Galliformes; Numididae
Description: lncRNA (ENSNMEG00000006870.1)
Source: RNAcentral
GUGUGCAAGAGUGUUUCUGCAUCUCACUCUGGGCUCUUCUUCCUCCACUGCUCCUUUUUUUGGGGUUCCCCACGGUUUUCGGUGGAGAUGGGAAGCAGAGGCCGCAGCAGUGCAGCCCCAGCUGUCACAGAGAGCAGAAUCUCCACAGAGCGCCCGAAGGUUCCAGAAGGUUCCAGAGGGGCAGUUGGGCUGGGAUGGCGGCAAGGCUGCAGCGCUGGGUGCCAAACCAUCGUUUGUUGCUUAGUUUUUAAUUAUUUUUAUAUUUAUGAGGAAAAAUUGCCCUCACACAGUAGCCUCAGUGCUACAGUCAGGAUUCACCUCCACACCGAGCUGCGGGCACAAACCCGCCGGGAACACCACCACCAGGAUGCAAAUCUGAAUAAACUCUGCAAAACACCUGGGGACUCUGAAGCAACCGGUCCAUUCUGGGCACUUCUAUUUCUUCUGUAUAACCAAGCUGUGCAGCAACUUGCAGAACAGAGACCUGGUUUCACACGGACUCUUGGUGAGGGAGAUGAGCCUGCAGACACCAACAAACAGCUGAACACGAUCAAAAGCUACAGUCAAUGA